RNAcentral lists this unclassified non-coding RNA (259 nucleotides) under plant metagenome. RNAcentral's name for it is "partial contains small subunit ribosomal RNA, internal transcribed spacer 1, and 5.8S ribosomal RNA". The record is from RNAcentral.
UUUCCGUAGGUGAACCUGCGGAAGGAUCAUUAACGUAUCUGCAUCGGGGGGAUGCGAGUGUGGCCCAGCAACGGCGAAUUGCCCUGCAGCGGGCCCCCCUUCCCCUCGAACACUACAAACCCACUGUGCACCUUUCGCGGUGGAGGGUGCGGCGCGAGCCCGCCUGAAGCUGCGGUCUCACAGACUUGUCUCAGAAUGUCUUGCGGACUCGUUCCGCCCAUAAACGUAACAACUUUCAACAACGGAUCUCUUGGCUCUC